This 253-nucleotide ribosomal RNA is filed under the name uncultured bacterium. Its description in RNAcentral is "partial 16S ribosomal RNA". It matches the Rfam family "Bacterial small subunit ribosomal RNA", at positions 524 to 776 of the family's 1533-position model. The record is from RNAcentral.
UACAGAGGAGCCAAGCGUUGUCCGGAUUGACUGGGCGUAAAGCGCACGCAGGCGGUCGGGCGCGUGGGGUGUGAAAUCUGGCCGCUUAACGGCCAGGCGCCAUCCCAUACGGCUCGACUGGAGUGAUGCAGAGGUCGAUGGAAUUGCCGGUGUAGUGGUGAAAUGCGUAGAGAUCGGCAGGAACACCCAGGGGGAAACCAGUGGACUGGCACGGUGCUGACGCUCAGGUGCGAAAGCGUGGGGAGCGAACCGG